This 1857-nucleotide long non-coding RNA is filed under the name Olea europaea (common olive). Its description in RNAcentral is "long non-coding RNA (OEUR_LNC002109)". Lineage: Eukaryota; Viridiplantae; Streptophyta; Magnoliopsida; Lamiales; Oleaceae. The record is from RNAcentral.
CUGAGAAAAUACCGUAAAAAUUUAGUUUCAAUGGCUGAAAAGCUGCAGGAGCAGCUGAAAGAGCUCGGAUUGAAGCUCGACAGACCUCCUGAUUCGAAAGACGUUCUUAUGAAGCUCUUGAAGGUGAGAUUUUUUCUUUAGUUAUCUUUAUUUUGGAUAAAUUUUUGCUGCCACCUAAUUUUGAGUUGUAACAUUGAAAUUUCGUGCCCUUGGAAGUUCAUUGACAGAUGCAUGCUUAUGAAUUUGUGAGAUUUAUGGCUUUGUGAGGGGCUGGGAUGAUUAGGGUUGAGUUUUAUAGAGCUUUGAAAUCAGUAAAACCAAGGAAGGAUAAGUUAAAGUGAUUCAAGCAUUUUCUAACAUUUUCAAGUAAAUGUAUGAUGCCUUGCAAUGCACACUAUAUUUUAUUUAACGUAAUACUCAUAUUUUUUUACAAACAUUUAUGUUAUCUUGUUGUAAGAAUGUCAUUUGAAACUUUUACGACAGUUGAAUAUGCAACUUCGUGGGACAAACAAAAUAUUGUUACAUGCUAACUCGACGUUUGUUUUUAAAGAGUUUGCACUUCAAAUGACUAUAUAUCAUUUCUAAUUUCGUAAAUUGUGUGUAUAUUGCAUUGGAUUUUUCCAUUCUGUUGGUUGGAAUGAAGAAAAUAUUUAUUUUUACCAGUGAGCUCUUUAUCUUUAUUUCUAUUAUAAUUUAUAAGAAAUUUUGAACUUGAAUUUGAUAGUCAGCCCCAAAAAUAUUCCAUGUUAUGAGUAGAUUCAACGAUGUUUUGGUUAGAUAGAAAAUCAUAGACAUAGAUGGUGACGGCGAUCUUGAUGAUGUUGGUCUACGGUCGAGCAUGAUGAUGGUGGUUGAUGGUAUCGAUAAUUUUAAAUUUUGGGUUUGCGUUUGGGUUUAGGUUUGUAUGUGUGUUUGAUAAUUUCUAUGUAUUUGUGUGAGGAAUAAAAAAUUAAUAUUUAAAAAAUAAAAAAGAAUGAAAAGUAACUUUGAAAUUUCAAAAAAACGAAGUUCACGUGUAAUUUUCACCUCAAAAUAUUGUCUAUCUUACUAAAAUCAAUUUCAAAUUCAUUAAACCUUGUAAUAGACAGAAUGCCAAAAUGCUAAAAAAAGAAAAAGGGAAAGAAAAUUCACAAAAAAAAAAAAAGAAAAGAAAAAGAAAAAAAAGAAAGAAAGGAUACAUAAAACACUAUACACAAGUUUAAAGAGAUAAACAGGGGGGCUUAAAUUGCAAAUACUAACAAAGUAGAAGACAUCAAGAAGCAAAUUAUCCUGUUCAAAAAAGUUACAGUUUGGUCGGUAGUAAUUAUGAAAAUUGAUUUUUUGAUCGUUAGAAAGAAAAUUAAGUCUCACAUACGAGAGGAGAAGUAAAAAAUGAUAACUGCUUUGAACAAGUUACGUUUAAAAAAUUAAUUUUUUAGGAUGGAAAAUCACAAUCAAAUAUGCAUUUAAUUUGGGAAACUUGAGCGUGCCAUAAGUCAAACUCACUUGCUCUCGCUUCCCUGUUCGGAAGAGAAAAAAAGCCCCGUACGAUACUUCCUCAAUUGUCACACUCACACUCACAGACAGAGAGACACGGACACUAUAAAACGCGCUAUGUAUGUUUCUUACACAUAAUCACUUAUUUUGCAAUUCUGAGAAAAUACCGUAAAAAUUUAGUUUCAAUGGCUGAAAAGCUGCAGGAGCAGCUGAAAGAGCUCGGAUUGAAGCUCGACAGACCUCCUGAUUCGAAAGACGUUCUUAUGAAGCUCUUGAAGGUGAGAUUUUUUCUUUAGUUAUCUUUAUUUUGGAUAAAUUUUUGCUGCCACCUAAUUUUGAGUUGUAACAUUGAAAUUUCGUGCCCUUGGAAGUUCAUUGACA